GACGAACGCUGGCGGCGUGCUUAACACAUGCAAGUCGAACGGACCUUAUUUGGAGGAAGCUUUCGGGUAGACACUGAAUAAGGUUAGUGGCGGACGGGUGAGUAACGCGUAGAUAAUCUACCUUAAAGACUGGGACAACAGUUGGAAACGACUGCUAAUACCGGAUAAGCUAAACGGAAGGCAUCUUCUGUUUAGGAAAGGAGGCCUCUUAACAAUGCUCCCGCUUUUAGAUGAGUCUGCGUCUGAUUAGCUAGUUGGUGGGGUAACGGCUUACCAAGGCGACGAUCAGUAGUCGGCCUGAGAGGGUGACCGGCCACAUUGGGACUGAGACACGGCCCAA
RNAcentral lists this ribosomal RNA (340 nucleotides) under uncultured bacterium. RNAcentral describes it as "bacterial SSU rRNA". It matches the Rfam family "Bacterial small subunit ribosomal RNA", at positions 28 to 334 of the family's 1533-position model. The record is from RNAcentral.